GAGAGAGUAAGCCCUAACCCAAAAGAUUGCUAGUUUUUCGGGCCCGCAGUUGAAGUCUGCGGCUCACUCA
This 70-nucleotide transfer RNA is filed under the name Leptocephalus sp. 'type II larva'. RNAcentral's name for it is "tRNA-Ser (AGY)". The record is from RNAcentral. Lineage: Eukaryota; Metazoa; Chordata; Actinopteri; Anguilliformes; Nettastomatidae.